AGAGGAGACAUGGGGUGUAAAUUAUCGUGCUUUGCGUGAUUUGUUCAGCACUACAAAGGCAAGAAGGGACAUGAUAGAGUAUGAAGUGGGAGUCCAAGUGAUUGAGAUAUAUAAUGAACAAGUGAGAGAUCUCUUGGUCAUUGACGGGGCUAACAGACGAUAUCCAUGAUUGAGAUAUAUAACGAACAAGUGAGAGAUCUCUUGGUCAUUGACGGGGCUAACAAGCGAUAUCCUUUACAUUGAUAUAUGAUGAACUAUAUAGUAACAUGCUCACCUAAAUUUGGAUUUAGUUUCAGGAAAAGUGGCUUUUAUUUUGUUGUCUAACCUUAACAUUCCAC
Molecule: long non-coding RNA, 338 nt
Filed under: Nicotiana benthamiana
Lineage: Eukaryota; Viridiplantae; Streptophyta; Magnoliopsida; Solanales; Solanaceae
Description: long non-coding RNA (NBEN_LNC016128)
Source: RNAcentral